GACGAACCGUGCGAACGUUGUUCGGAAUCACUGGGCUUAAAGGGCGCGUAGGUGGUUUGCCAAGUCGGGGUUGAAAUCUUUCGGCUUAACCGGAAAAGUGGCUUCGAUACUGGCAAGCUGGAGGGAGGUAGGGGCGGAUGGAACUUCCGGUGGAGCGGUGAAAUGUGUUGAUAUCGGAAGGAACGCCAGUGGCGAAAGCGAUCCGCUGGACCUCUUCUGACACUGAGGCACGAAAGCCAGGGGAGCAAACGGG
This 253-nucleotide ribosomal RNA is filed under the name uncultured bacterium. RNAcentral's name for it is "partial 16S ribosomal RNA". It matches the Rfam family "Bacterial small subunit ribosomal RNA", at positions 524 to 776 of the family's 1533-position model. The record is from RNAcentral.